UAACACGUAUGCAACCUGCCCUCUUCAGGGGGACAACCUUCCGAAAGGGAGGCUAAUCCCGCGUAUAUCGGUUUCGGGCAUCCGAGAUCGAGGAAAGAUUCAUCGGAAGAGGAUGGGCAUGCGGCGCAUUAGCUUGACGGCGGGGUAACGGCCCACCGUGGCGACGAUGCGUAGGGGUUCUGAGAGGAAGGUCCCCCACACUGGUACUGAGACACGGACCAGACUCCUACGGGAGGCAGCAGUGAGGAAUAUUGGUCAAUGGGAGAGAUCCUGAACCAGCCAAGCCGCGUGAGGGAAGACGGCCCUAUGGGUUGUAAACCUCUUUUGUCGGAGAACAAAACCCGGGACGUGUCCCGGACUGCGUGUAUCCGAAGAAAAAGCAUCGGCUAACUCCGUGCCAGCAGCCGCGGUAAUACGGAGGAUGCGAGCGUUAUCCGGAUUUAUUGGGUUUAAAGGGUGCGUAGGCGGUCCGUUAAGUCAGCGGUAAAAUUGCGGGGCUCAACCCCGUCGAGCCGUUGAAACUGGCAGACUUGAGUUGGCGAGAAGUACGCGGAAUGCGCGGUGUAGCGGUGAAAUGCAUAGAUAUUGCGCAGAACUCCGAUUGCGAAGGCAGCGUACCGGCGCCACACUGACGCUGAGGCACGAAAGCGUGGGGAUCGAACGGGAUUAGAUACCCUGGUAGUCCACGCAGUAAACGAUGAAUGCUGGUUGU
Molecule: ribosomal RNA, 712 nt
Filed under: uncultured bacterium
Lineage: Bacteria
Description: bacterial SSU rRNA
Rfam family: Bacterial small subunit ribosomal RNA
Source: RNAcentral